Molecule: unclassified non-coding RNA, 216 nt
Filed under: soil metagenome
Description: partial contains 5.8S ribosomal RNA, internal transcribed spacer 2, and large subunit ribosomal RNA
Source: RNAcentral
AACAAGGCGUACCUGCGGACCUGCGGAAGGAUCAUUACAGAGUUGCAAAACUCCCUAAACCAUUGUGAACCUACCUUCUACCGUUGCUUCGGCGGGCGGGCCUAGCGCCCCCCCGGCCCCCCGCGGGCGCCCGCCGGAGGAUAACCAAACUCUUGACAUCAGUGGCCUCUCUGAGUAUUCUUUACUGAAUAAGUCAAAACUUUCAACAACGGAUCU